This 684-nucleotide long non-coding RNA is filed under the name Monodelphis domestica (gray short-tailed opossum). Its description in RNAcentral is "lncRNA (ENSMODG00000035964.2)". The record is from RNAcentral. Lineage: Eukaryota; Metazoa; Chordata; Mammalia; Didelphimorphia; Didelphidae.
AUGGGAAAAGCUCCAAUGCAGUUUUCCUGGUUUUGCAAUGUCCAAGGAUACAAUUGGCGGAGUUUCUUUUGUUUUAAAAAACAUGAUAAACAAGUACAGAAUGUGCGCAAGCAGGAAGAAACUGACCUAAAGGUAAAUUUUCAUUAUGUGAAAUUUGUCAUUAAGAUUUAUGUGCGUAUCUCCAUUUUAAUUACUAGGGAAUGAGCUUUUAAAAUAAUCUCUAAGACCCUUUCGCAGUUUUCACUGUCAAGGGUUAUAUUAGCAUAGGCCAAUCUAAGCUUUUAAAUAUUGUCUCUCUUGAUCUCUAGCUAUUUGAUGACGCCUCUGCUUCUUUUAUACCCCAAAGCUGCUGGUGUCUGACUGGACAGAAACUCAAGUUGGCCAUUGGUUAAAGAGUAUUGGAAUGAAAAAAUAUAUCCUGAAAUUUGAUUAUAAAAGAGUAAGCAGUCAAGAACUUCUUGAAUUAGACAAUGAUGCAUUAAAAGUAAGCUUCAGAAUUGGCUUUUUAUAUAUGCUACAUACAAUUAUAUAUUAACUUAUUUUAUGGUGGGCAUUGGAUGAAAAACAGUACAAAUAAUGGGAUUCCUAUAUAUGGCCUAUUUGACAACCUUAUGGUUUUAAGGAAAACAUGUUAACUACUUUUUUGAAUGUAGUUUCAAGAAAUGUUUUUAAUGUGAUUUGCUC